This 246-nucleotide unclassified non-coding RNA is filed under the name Paraphoma chrysanthemicola. RNAcentral's name for it is "partial internal transcribed spacer region". The stretch from base 1 to 46 matches the Rfam family "Eukaryotic small subunit ribosomal RNA", at positions 1786 to 1831 of the family's 1831-position model. The record is from RNAcentral. Lineage: Eukaryota; Fungi; Ascomycota; Dothideomycetes; Pleosporales; Phaeosphaeriaceae.
AAGUCGUAACAAGGUUUCCGUAGGUGAACCUGCGGAAGGAUCAUUACCUUUCAAUGCAGCAGAAUUGGGAUGGUUGAGUAUCUCGCCUCUCCGUUCUGCCUGUAUUCUACCCUUGUUUGUCAUAUACUAUUAUUUCCUCGGCAGGCUUGCCUGCCGAGUGAAACCAUUUAUAACCUUUUUAAUUUUCAAUCAGCGUCUGAAAAAAACUAAUAAUUACAACUUUCAACAACGGAUCUCUUGGUUCUG